GGGGAAAUGUCCAGAGGGAAUAGAGGAGGGUGCGCAGAGUAUUCGAGGAUGGAGGACGAAGGGAAGUGUUGGCAUGUAGAGCUGUGUGUUGUGUGUGUGCAUGUAUGAGGAAUAUGCAUAGGCCUUAGAGUAUGGGGUAUGGGAGAGUGGUGUGCGCGUAUGUGUUGUGUGGUGUGGGGAGCGGUAUGCAUUCCGAGAGUGCAGUGUAGUGUGUGCGGUGUCCAGACUUGCGGUAUGAGAAGUGUGGUGUGUGUGUUAAGUGGUGUAUGUGCAGAAGGUGUGUUACCUUGAGAUGCGUGAAGAGUAUUGUAGGUGCUUAGGGGUUGUAAGUAGGGUGUGCGGGAGAACUAGCUGGAGAUUUCUCUCCGAGGAUCCAGCCACGGAGCAAGGCCCAGAUGAAGUCUUGGGGGAGAACCUCAGGUGAGUUCAGCUUUGGGUCCAGUCCCGUCUCCAGAUCUGGCAGAAAAUUUCCUCACACGCAGGUGAACGAAUUUGACCUGCGCUCAAGUGCGCUAGGGAGAGUGCUGUGGUCGCUCAAAUCGGUACUUAGACCUCUUGAGGCCUCCGGCAGCCCCGCCCUGGCCCGCAGUCCCGGGUGUGGGUGAUUCAGGCCGCCAGCGCAGCUUCCGAACCGCGGGUUGCAGAGGCUGUGCCUGAGGCUGGGGUGGAGAGAUCGGGGUCCAGGCGUGGGGACUGGGGCGCGGUGGAGAGAACGCGCCUGCGCGUCGACCUUAUGGAAGGUUCUGGUCGGUCAAAGGCCCAGGGGCUUUCCUAUGCAUUGUUAAAGACCUCCCCCCAAAACCAAGAACUGUAUUGCCUGGGGAAGCUGAGCCCCUGUGUCCGAGGCAGCACCGGGGUUCUCGCCCACCCUCCUUGAAGCCACUUGCUGGUGGGUGUAUGGAGGCCUUCCAAAGACUCCCGGACGUUUGCGUGGGUUUCAGUUCGGCCCAGAGCUUCAGAAAGAGCGAACCAGCCUCUCUGUAUUUUUAGCAGGCGGAGCAGAAUUUGAAACAGCAUCCUACCGAUCCUGCGCCUGGUAAAUGAUGACUCGCCAGAAAGCAAAGACGCAACCCUGCCUGGUAGGAAGUCUGAAUCAGAAGAGUCACACCAAGAAACAUCAUCCUGAAGGGAUCUUCAGAGGUUGAAGUCUUGAUGAAGCUGUCCAUGCCCAGCACAGAGCCCAGGUGAGCCGUGCCAUGGGUGGACAGUGCUGCCAGCUGUCCGUGUUUUAGCAGUGGGAUCCGGAAUCGGUGGGGCCCAUCUCUCAAGGAGAGUUGCCACUCUUCAUCUCCAUCAUGAAGACACAGCUGGAUCACCUCGGCAGGAGCCUACACUGAUUCUGUUCUGUGAAGAACAGAGACCCUUCUCUGCUUUGGUUUCCUUUAGAAAUGGACCUGGCUCUGUCUCCCACAUAUCCCAGCCUUCCACCACUCCAAUUCCUUGCUUCUAUCUGUGGAACUAAAGCAGGGUUCUUGUGUUUCCUGUGUUCACUUCCUCAUUUGUAAUCAUGAUUCUGCGACUAACUGCCACGCUGUCUCCUCAUAUUCCUGAACUACCAAAGCCAGGGCUGGACAGUCCUGGUGGAACCUCUCUUCCUUAGCACACGUAAGUAGACACAAACAUCCUACAGACAAAACUUUCAUGUAGGACAAACAAAAGCCCAGUGGCUGGACAAGUACCCCCAGAUUUCCAAAUAAAUCCUCACAGAGAUGCUCAGGGAUGCUCCCUCUGGUGCAGUGAAAAUAAGGACUCCUGUCAAAACAAUAAGAACAAAGGUCUCCUUCCCCUUGAAAUAACUCAAAUGCUGCACAGAAGGCAGCAGGCAUGGUUUUCAAAUGCUAAGCAUUAAACAAGGUAGGACAGUAACUGAGUAUCAAGUAAGUGCUCCAAUACAUCAUGUAGUAGCUUAAGAGCUGCCAGAAAUGAUGCCAGCUGAGGAGUCCAGGCAGAGGCAAAAGACCUUCCUGGGUUUAAGAGACAGGGCUGAGCUCAGGAGAUCAAGCUAAUGUGUGCUGGUUUGAUUUUUGUCAAUUAUACUUUACUACAACUGUAAAAACGAUGCUAAAAGCACAUUGUGAAAUGUUAAAUGUCAGAAGUGACAAAUAUCUGAUAAUAUCUA
Long non-coding RNA from Chionomys nivalis (European snow vole), 2119 nucleotides. RefSeq lists it as uncharacterized. Lineage: Eukaryota; Metazoa; Chordata; Mammalia; Rodentia; Cricetidae. The record is from RefSeq and is a predicted model, not a curated record. The transcript is spliced from 3 exons.